Molecule: ribosomal RNA, 253 nt
Filed under: uncultured bacterium
Lineage: Bacteria
Description: partial 16S ribosomal RNA
Rfam family: Bacterial small subunit ribosomal RNA
Source: RNAcentral
CACGUAGGGGGCGAGCGUUGUCCGGAAUUACUGGGCGUAAAGGGCGUCUAGGCGGCCUGAUACGUCGGCAGUGAAAGACUCCAGCUCAACUGGGGCAUUGCUGCCGAAACGGCCAGGCUUGAGGGCAGGAGAGGGAAGCGGAAUUGCCGGUGUAGCGGUGAAAUGCGUAGAGAUCGGCAGGAACACCAGUGGCGAAGGCGGCUUCCUGGACUGCCCCUGACGCUGAAGCGCGAAAGCGUGGGGAGCAAACGGG